CAGUCGCCGCGGGAAUACGAAGGGUGCAAGCGUUACUCGGAAUUACUGGGCGUAAAGCGUGCGUAGGUGGUGGUUUAAGUCCGUUGUGAAAGCCCUGGGCUCAACCUGGGAAUUGCAGUGGAUACUGGGUCACUAGAGUGUGGUAGAGGAUAGUGGAAUUUCCGGUGUAGCAGUGAAAUGCGUAGAGAUCGGAAGUAACAUCUGUGGCGAAGGCGACUAUCUGGGCCAACACUGACACUGAGGCACGAAAGCGUGGGGAGCAAACAGGAUUAGAUACCCCUGUAGUCCCUGUCUCUUAUAC
This 301-nucleotide ribosomal RNA is filed under the name uncultured bacterium. RNAcentral describes it as "partial 16S ribosomal RNA". It matches the Rfam family "Bacterial small subunit ribosomal RNA", at positions 509 to 807 of the family's 1533-position model. The record is from RNAcentral.